GAUGAAGAACGCAGCGAAAUGCGAUAAGUAGUGUGAAUUGCAGAAUUCAGUGAAUCAUCGAAUCUUUGAACGCACAUUGCGCCCUUUGGUAUUCCAAAGGGCAUGCCUGUUCGAGCGUCAUUUGUACCCUCAAGCUUUGCUUGGUGUUGGGCGUCUUGUCUCUAGCUUUGCUGGAGACUCGCCUUAAAGUAAUUGGCUGCCGGCCUACUGGUUUCGGAGCGCAGCACAAGUCGCACUCUCUAUCAGCAAAGGUCUAGCAUCCAUUAAGCCUUUUUUUCAACUUUUGACCUCGGAUCAGGUAGGGAUACCCGCUGAACUUAAGCAUAUCAAUAAGCGGAGGA
RNAcentral lists this unclassified non-coding RNA (341 nucleotides) under soil metagenome. RNAcentral describes it as "partial contains 5.8S ribosomal RNA, internal transcribed spacer 2, and large subunit ribosomal RNA". The stretch from base 1 to 120 matches the Rfam family "5.8S ribosomal RNA", at positions 35 to 154 of the family's 154-position model. The record is from RNAcentral.